GGGCUGGUGGACUAUCCUGACUUCAACGGCACGGAGGGCAUCGUCCAAAGGUUCGAUUC
This 59-nucleotide transfer RNA is filed under the name uncultured Symbiodinium. RNAcentral describes it as "partial Selenocysteine transfer RNA". The record is from RNAcentral. Lineage: Eukaryota; Dinophyceae; Suessiales; Symbiodiniaceae.